Molecule: ribosomal RNA, 432 nt
Filed under: uncultured bacterium
Lineage: Bacteria
Description: partial 16S ribosomal RNA
Rfam family: Bacterial small subunit ribosomal RNA
Source: RNAcentral
CCUACGGGAGGCAGCAGUAAGGAAUAUUGGGCAAUGGACGAAAGUCUGACCCAGCCAUGCCGCGUGGAGGAUGAAGGUCUCUGGAUUGUAAACUUCUUUUAUUUGGGAAGCGGUACCAGAUGAAUAAGCACCGGCUAACUCCGUGCCAGCAGCCGCGGUAAUACGGAGGGUGCAAGCGUUAUCCGGAUUCACUGGGUUUAAAGGGUGCGUAGGCGGGCAGGUAAGUCAGUGGUGAAAUCUCCGGGCUUAACCCGGAAACUGCCGUUGAUACUAUCUGUCUUGAAUAUCGUGGAGGUAAGCGGAAUAUGUCAUGUAGCGGUGAAAUGCUUAGAUAUGACAUAGAACACCGAUUGCGAAGGCAGCUUACUACACGAUAUUGACGCUGAGGCACGAAAGCGUGGGGAGCAAACAGGAUUAGAUACCCUUGUAGUC